UCUUCUAAGUUGCGUCAGGCUGAGGCCAGAGCACAGAGGAAACGGAAGGCAAAAUCUGCUAGCCGUAAUACGAAUAAGCCGUAUGAACGUCCAGGUCUUGGGCGGGGAAGCGGAGGCAACACGGGGAACGUCGAUCUUUUUCGAGGCUUUCAAAGUACUGGAGAAAUGGGAGAGUUCCCUUUCUACGCCCAAAGAGGAGCGGUUAACGGAAGUAUGCCUGGAGCGCCCGGGGGUUUCCAUCCCUCCUCAGCAGGACCGGUCAACAAACAAAACUCGACCUGUUUCUACUGCUACGGGGCCGGACACUGGGCCAGCAACUGCCCGAGGAGAGUCAGAACCACCCCAACCCACACCCAGAGUGUCCCCGCAAUCAAACAAUGAAGAUCAGAAGAUGAACACUGUGUUAUUAGGGCCAGUUUGGUCAGAGGUUGAGGAUAUGAAAGGCCAUCCUUUGCUUUGUGAAGCAGCAUCUAAAUUGGAAUCUGUGUUAAAGGCCAGCCAUGCUUCUUCUACAGACAAGCAAUACUGUUCGAAUUUCGCUAAAUUUAAAGAUUGGUGUCGUAUUACAGGCCUGGGAUAUCUGCCCUCUAGAAGUAGUACAGUAGCCGUAUAUUUGUCUUAUUUGGUUCAACAGUCAGUCUCGGUAUCUACCCUUAAUUCACAUUUCUAUAGCAUAAAGUGGCAACAUGAUUUCGCAGAUUUGCCUAAUCCAUGUACAGACAAGUUUGUUUUAAAAUCUUUAGAAGGAGCUAAACGUAUUCUUUCUAAGCCUAUUUUUAAAAAAUCUCCCAUUUCUGUGGAACAUAUAGAGUCCAUUUUUAGAAAGUACGGAAACUCGGAAAACGUUAAGGAUUUACGGUUAUGCACUUUGUGCAUUUUAGGAUUUGCAGGGUUUUUCAGAUUCAGUGAACUAGUCGAUUUAAAAAUGUCAAAUUGCGUUUUGAAAAGUUCACACCUUGAAAUUACACUUGUUCAUAGCAAAACAGAUGUCUAUCGUCAAGGCAAUGUUGUGGUGAUUGCGAAAACAGGGAAGAAAACUUGUCCAGUUGCUUGUUUUGUGAAAUACAUUACAGCUGCCGGGUUAAGUUUUGGUGCAGAUUCAUACAUUUUCAGAGCUGUUUCCUUUUGUAAAUCUACAGGAACAUAUAAGUUAUGUAGUCGAAAUCAAGCUCUUUCUUACACUAGAGUUAGAGAGAUUUUUCUGGGCGCAAUUUCGGAAAUUGGACUAAAAAAGUCAGAAUUUGGUCUACAUAGCUUGAGGGCUGGUGGCGCCACUAUAGCCGCUAACAAUGGCAUUUCAGAGAGAUUAUUUAAAGCACAUGGCAGAUGGGCCAGCGAGAAAGCAAAGGAUGGUUAUGUUUUGGAUGAUCUUGAUCAUAAAAUUUCUGUUUCCGCUAAUCUUGGCAUUUAAAAUUUUAUUCCUUUGAUGUUCGAAAUAUUGCUGUACACGAAUCUCGCAGGCUAUUAAAUUGUAAAAACAAUUGUUUGGUUUAUGUUAUUAUUGCUAAAUAGAUACGAAAUGAUUUAUGUACGGAUGAGGAACGAAGGAGAACAUAAAUGAAUUUCGUUUCGUUUGUAGUGUAGUUCUUAAAUUCGUGCUACAGGUGUAGUGUAGCACUUCGCACGUGCAUUUAGUGUGUAUUAGCAUUCGACGAGAUCGUUCACAGCAGUACGGACGUGUAUUUUUUUUUUUUUUUUUAUAUAUAACAAUAUAUAUAUGUAUGUAUAUAUACAUAUAUAUAUUAUAAGAAGUCACGGUUGGUUGAGAUAUAUUCAUAUUCCAGUGACAGUGUUUUAAGUGUGGCGUUCGGGAAUGUGUAUUGGACUGAUUGAGUGGACUCUGAAGUACAUUCCUGAAUUUCGUCAAGUGCGCGAAUCUUGUGAAACAUGAAAUAUUGCUGUACACGAAUCUCGCAGGCUAUUAAAUUGUAAAAACAAUUGUUUGGUUUAUGUUAUUAUUGCUAAAUAGAUACGAAAUGAUUUAUGUACGGAUGAGGAACGAAGGAGAACAUAAAUGAAUUUCGUUUCGUUUGUAGUGUAGUUCUUAAAUUCGUGCUACAGGUGUAGUGUAGCACUUCGCACGUGCAUUUAGUGUGUAUUAGCAUUCGACGAGAUCGUUCACAGCAGUACGGACGUGUAUUUAUUUUUUAUUUUUUAUAUAU
Molecule: RNA transcript, 2162 nt
Organism: Mizuhopecten yessoensis (Yesso scallop)
Lineage: Eukaryota; Metazoa; Mollusca; Bivalvia; Pectinida; Pectinidae
Exons: 3
Source: RefSeq, a predicted model, not a curated record